RNAcentral lists this ribosomal RNA (426 nucleotides) under uncultured bacterium. Its description in RNAcentral is "partial 16S ribosomal RNA". It matches the Rfam family "Bacterial small subunit ribosomal RNA", at positions 354 to 796 of the family's 1533-position model. The record is from RNAcentral.
GUGAGGAAUUUUCCGCAAUGGGCGAAAGCCUGACGGAGCAAUGCCGCGUGAAGGAUGAAGGCCUAUGGGUUGUAAACUUCUUUUCUCAGAAAAGAAUUAUGACGGUAUCUGAGGAAUAAGCAUCGGCUAACUCUGUGCCAGCAGCCGCGGUAAGAAAGAGGAUGCAAGCGUUAUCCGGAAUGAUUGGGCGUAAAGCGUCUGUAGGUUGUUUAAAAAGUAUUCUGUCAAAGAUUAGGGCUUAACCCUAGAUAGGCAGAAUAAACUUUUAAGCUAGAGUUUGGUAGAGGCAGAGGGAAUUCCCGGUGGAGCGGUGAAAUGCGUAGAUAUCGGGAGGAACACCAAAGGCGAAGGCACUCUGCUGGGCCAAUACUAACACUGAGAGACGAAAGCGAGGGGAGCAAAUGGGAUUAGAAACCCGGGUAGUCC